UCUGGGGGAGCGCUUUGUCCACAUCGGCAAAAAUCGGGUCCUUGAGGGCUCGUUUUGGUGACGUGGACAAAGCGCUCCCCCAGGG
This is a non-coding RNA of Gossypium arboreum, 85 nucleotides long. NCBI's taxonomy places the organism in Eukaryota, Viridiplantae, Streptophyta, Magnoliopsida, Malvales, Malvaceae. The record is from Rfam.